Molecule: ribosomal RNA, 383 nt
Filed under: uncultured eukaryote
Lineage: Eukaryota
Description: partial 18S ribosomal RNA
Rfam family: Eukaryotic small subunit ribosomal RNA
Source: RNAcentral
CAAUAGCGUAUAUUAAAGUUGUUGCAGUUAAAAAGCUCGUAGUUGGAUUUCUGGUGGGAGCGAUCGGUCUGGCGCUUAGCGCGAGUACUUGCAUCGUCUCCGGCCAUCCUUGGGGAGAGUCUGUCUGGCAUUAAGUUGUCGGGCAGAGGAUCCUCAUCGUUUACUGUGAAAAAAUUAGAGUGUUCAAAGCAGGCUUAUGCCGUUGAAUAUAUUAGCAUGGAAUAAUAAGAUAGGACUUUGGUACUAUUUUGUUGGUUUGCGCACCAAAGUAAUGAUUAAUAGGGACAGUUGGGGGUAUUCGUAUUCCGUCGUCAGAGGUGAAAUUCUUGGAUUUUUGGAAGACGAACUACUGCGAAAGCAUUUACCAAGGAUGUUUUCAUUAA